RNAcentral lists this ribosomal RNA (301 nucleotides) under uncultured bacterium. RNAcentral describes it as "partial 16S ribosomal RNA". It matches the Rfam family "Bacterial small subunit ribosomal RNA", at positions 509 to 809 of the family's 1533-position model. The record is from RNAcentral.
CAGUAGCCGCGGGAAUACGGAGGGUGCAAGCGUUAAUCGGAAUUACUGGGCGUAAAGCGCACGCAGGCGGUCUGACAAGUCAGAUGUGAAAUCCCCGGGCUUAACCUGGGAACUGCAUUUGAAACUGUCAGGCUGGAGUCUUGUAGAGGGGGGUGGAAUUUCAGGUGUAGCGGUGAAAUGCGUAGAGAUCUGGAGGAAUACCGGUGGCGAAGGCGGCCCCCUGGACAAAGACUGACGCUCAGGUGCGAAAGCGUGGGGAGCAAACAGGAUUAGAUACCCCGGUAGUCCCUGUCUCUUAUAA